This 465-nucleotide ribosomal RNA is filed under the name Vreelandella stevensii. RNAcentral's name for it is "partial 16S ribosomal RNA". It matches the Rfam family "Bacterial small subunit ribosomal RNA", at positions 338 to 795 of the family's 1533-position model. Lineage: Bacteria; Pseudomonadati; Pseudomonadota; Gammaproteobacteria; Oceanospirillales; Halomonadaceae. The record is from RNAcentral.
CCUACGGGGUGCUGCAGUGGGGAAUAUUGGACAAUGGGCGAAAGCCUGAUCCAGCCAUGCCGCGUGUGUGAAGAAGGCCUUCGGGUUGUAAAGCACUUUCAGUGGGGAAGAAAGCCUUGGGGCUAAUACCCUCGAGGAAGGACAUCACCCACAGAAGAAGCACCGGCUAACUCCGUGCCAGCAGCCGCGGUAAUACGGAGGGUGCGAGCGUUAAUCGGAAUUACUGGGCGUAAAGCGCGCGUAGGCGGUUUGAUAAGCCGGUUGUGAAAGCCCCGGGCUCAACCUGGGAACGGCAUCCGGAACUGGCAGGCUAGAGUGCAGGAGAGGAAGGUAGAAUUCCAGGUGUAGCGGUGAAAUGCGUAGAGAUAGGGAGGAAUACCAGUGGCGAAGGCGGCCUUCUGGACUGACACUGACGCUGAGGUGCGAAAGCGUGGGUAGCAAACAGGAUUAGAUACCCGAGUAGUC